UAAAAGUCUGAAGGAAAAAAG
Molecule: non-coding RNA, 21 nt
Organism: Caenorhabditis elegans
Lineage: Eukaryota; Metazoa; Nematoda; Chromadorea; Rhabditida; Rhabditidae
Source: Ensembl